AGCAGUGUAGCAUAGUGUUAAGGCGUAGGGCUCAGAACUGAAAGAUUGCUGGUUCAAAUCCCCACUGGGG
This is a non-coding RNA of Megalops atlanticus (tarpon), 70 nucleotides long. The record is from the annotation of a GenBank genome assembly. Lineage: Eukaryota; Metazoa; Chordata; Actinopteri; Elopiformes; Megalopidae.